Long non-coding RNA from Erpetoichthys calabaricus (reedfish), 410 nucleotides. RefSeq lists it as uncharacterized. The transcript has 3 exons. Lineage: Eukaryota; Metazoa; Chordata; Cladistia; Polypteriformes; Polypteridae. The record is from RefSeq and is a predicted model, not a curated record.
UCUGUUUUUCCAAAUGACAAAUAAUGUGGUCAUAGACAGAGUAUCACUGCCUGGUUAUGAGGAUUGUGGAACUACUUUACAAGAUGAGCUGGUGACAGAAACUGAGAAAAUGAUCCUUCAGAGUGCAAAUGCAUAUUCAACAGUUGCUGUUGGAGAAAAUAGUCAAGUGAUCCUUAUCACCAGUACGUCAAUAUUGUGGAAGUGACUGAAGAGGAUGACAUAGAAGGGCCCAUUGUCUUCAGUGACAACUCUAAUGAUUCAUCAGGCGACAGUUUCCUUCUUGAAGACAUUCUUCAAAAUUUGGCUGAUGUAAUUAGUGAAGAAGAAAGCAGCAUUUUUAACAUUAACAGAUCUUCACUGUGGGAGGGAGCAGUACGUGGAUUUAAGAGAAAUACGUAUUCUCCUAACAA